RNAcentral lists this unclassified non-coding RNA (370 nucleotides) under soil metagenome. RNAcentral describes it as "partial contains 5.8S ribosomal RNA, internal transcribed spacer 2, and large subunit ribosomal RNA". The stretch from base 1 to 120 matches the Rfam family "5.8S ribosomal RNA", at positions 35 to 154 of the family's 154-position model. The record is from RNAcentral.
GAUGAAGAACGCAGCGAAAUGCGAUAAGUAAUGUGAAUUGCAGAAUUCAGUGAACCAUCGAAUCUUUGAACGCACAUUGCGCCCGGCAGUAAUCUGCCGGGCAUGCCUGUCCGAGCGUCAUUUCUACCCUCGAGUGAGUCCAGCAUCUAGGUGCUGGGCCUCGCCCGGCGUUGGAGCACUACGGGAAGCCCUGUGCUGUCCCCCGUAGGCCCCGAAAUGAAGUGGCGGUCCUGCCGCGGCGCCCCCUGCGUAGUAUAACAGCUCGCUUCGGGACCCGGUGGAGGCCUGCCGUCAAACCUAUACUCUCUAAGUUUGACCUCGGAUCAGGUAGGGUUACCCGCUGAACUUAAGCAUAUCAAUAAGCGGAGGA